This 255-nucleotide ribosomal RNA is filed under the name uncultured bacterium. Its description in RNAcentral is "partial 16S ribosomal RNA". It matches the Rfam family "Bacterial small subunit ribosomal RNA", at positions 29 to 309 of the family's 1533-position model. The record is from RNAcentral.
AACGAACGCUGGCGGCAGGCCUAACACAUGCAAGUCGAGCGGACCCUUCGGGGUUAGCGGCGGACGGGUGAGUAACGCGUGGGAAUAUGCCCUUCUCUACGGAAUAGUCUCGGGAAACUGGGGGUAAUACCGUAUACGCCCUUUGGGGGAAAGGAUUUAUCGGAGAAGGAUUAGCCCGCGUUGGAUUAGGUAGUUGGUGGGGUAAUGGCCGUACCAAGCCGACGAUCCAUAGCUGGUUUGAGAGGAUGAUCAGCC